Non-coding RNA from Aspergillus avenaceus, 96 nucleotides. The record is from the annotation of a GenBank genome assembly. Lineage: Eukaryota; Fungi; Ascomycota; Eurotiomycetes; Eurotiales; Aspergillaceae.
GGUAAGAUGGCCGAGUUGGUUAAGGCGACAGAUUUAAGUUGGAUGUUAAAAUCCCUGUUGACGAGAGUCUCCUGGGUUCGAAUCCCAGUCUUACCA